Molecule: ribosomal RNA, 425 nt
Filed under: uncultured bacterium
Lineage: Bacteria
Description: partial 16S ribosomal RNA
Rfam family: Bacterial small subunit ribosomal RNA
Source: RNAcentral
GUGGGGAAUAUUGGACAAUGGGCGCAAGCCUGAUCCAGCCAUGCCGCGUGAGUGAUGAAGGCCCUAGGGUUGUAAAGCUCUUUCACCGGUGAAGAUAAUGACGGUAACCGGAGAAGAAGCCCCGGCUAACUUCGUGCCAGCAGCCGCGGUAAUACGAAGGGGGCUAGCGUUGUUCGGAAUUACUGGGCGUAAAUCGCACGUAGGCGGACAUUUAAGUCAGGGGUGAAAUCCCGGGGCUCAACCCCGGAACUGCCUUUGAUACUGGGUGUCUGGAGUAUGGAAGAGGUAAGUGGAAUUCCGAGUGUAGAGGUGAAAUUCGUAGAUAUUCGGAGGAACACCAGUGGCGAAGGCGGCUUACUGGUCCAUUACUGACGCUGAGGUGCGAAAGCGUGGGGAGCAAACAGGAUUAGAAACCCGUGUAGUCC